UAGGGAAUAUUGGACAAUGGGGGCAACCCUGAUCCAGCCAUGCCGCGUGAGUGAAGAAGGCCCUCGGGUUGUAAAGCUCUUUUGUCCGGAAAGAAAAGCAUUCGGUGAAUACCCGGAUGUUCUGACGGUACCGGAAGAAUAAGCACUGGCUAACUUCGUGCCAGCAGCCGCGGUAAUACGAAGGGUGCAAGCGUUACUCGGCAUUACUGGGCGUAAAGCGCGCGUAGGUGGUUGUUUAAGACUGAUGUGAAAGCCCUGGGCUCAACCUGGGAAUGGCAUUGGAAACUGGGCAGCUAGAGUGCGGUAGAGGGUAGUGGAAUUCCCGGUGUAGCAGUGAAAUGCGUAGAGAUCGGGAGGAACACCUGUGGCGAAGGCGACUGCCUGGACCAGCACUGACACUGAGGCACGAAAGCGUGGGGAGCAAACA
RNAcentral lists this ribosomal RNA (427 nucleotides) under uncultured bacterium. RNAcentral describes it as "bacterial SSU rRNA". It matches the Rfam family "Bacterial small subunit ribosomal RNA", at positions 355 to 774 of the family's 1533-position model. The record is from RNAcentral.